GGGCCUUUAGCUCAGUUGGUUAGAGCGCACCCCUGAUAAGGGUGAGGUCGAUGGUUCAAGUCCAUUAAGGCCCACCA
Molecule: transfer RNA, 77 nt
Filed under: Mollicutes bacterium
Lineage: Bacteria; Bacillati; Mycoplasmatota; Mollicutes
Also listed under: 5 other names
Description: tRNA-Ile
Rfam family: tRNA
About the family: Transfer RNA (tRNA) molecules are approximately 80 nucleotides in length. Their secondary structure includes four short double-helical elements and three loops (D, anti-codon, and T loops).
Source: RNAcentral